UCACAUAAAUUGAAACGGAGG
This 21-nucleotide microRNA is filed under the name Nicotiana tabacum (common tobacco). Its description in RNAcentral is "nta-miR6164a". Lineage: Eukaryota; Viridiplantae; Streptophyta; Magnoliopsida; Solanales; Solanaceae. The record is from miRBase by way of RNAcentral.